This 476-nucleotide ribosomal RNA is filed under the name uncultured bacterium. RNAcentral describes it as "partial 16S ribosomal RNA". It matches the Rfam family "Bacterial small subunit ribosomal RNA", at positions 28 to 523 of the family's 1533-position model. The record is from RNAcentral.
GACGAACGCUGGCGGCGUGCUUAACACAUGCAAGUCGAACGGUAAGGCCUUCGGGUACACGAGUGGCGAACGGGUGAGUAACACGUGGGUGAUCUGCCCUGCACUUCGGGAUAAGCCUGGGAAACUGGGUCUAAUACCGGAUAGGACCACUGCCUGCAUGGGUGGUGGUGGAAAGCUUUUGCGGUGUGGGAUGGGCCCGCGGCCUAUCAGCUUGUUGGUGGGGUGAUGGCCUACCAAGGCGACGACGGGUAGCCGGCCUGAGAGGGUGACCGGCCACACUGGGACUGGGAUACGGCCCAGACUCCUACGGGAGGCAGCAGUGGGGAAUAUUGCACAAUGGGCGCAAGCCUGAUGCAGCGACGCCGCGUGAGGGAUGACGGCCUUCGGGUUGUAAACCUCUUUCAGCACCGACGAAGCGCAAGUGACGGUAGGUGCAGAAGAAGGACCGGCCAACUACGUGCCAGCCGCCGCGGUAA